UACGUAGGGCGCAAGCGUUGUCCGGAAUUAUUGGGCGUAAAGAGCUCGUAGGCGGUUUGUCGCGUCUGCUGUGAAAACCUAAGGCUCAACCUUGGGCUUGCAGUGGGUACGGGCAGACUAGAGUGCGGUAGGGGUGACUGGAAUUCCUGGUGUAGCGGUGGAAUGCGCAGAUAUCAGGAGGAACACCGAUGGCGAAGGCAGCUCGCUGGGACGGUACUGACGCUGAGGCGCGAAAGCGUGGGGAGCAAACAGG
This 253-nucleotide ribosomal RNA is filed under the name uncultured bacterium. RNAcentral's name for it is "partial 16S ribosomal RNA". It matches the Rfam family "Bacterial small subunit ribosomal RNA", at positions 524 to 776 of the family's 1533-position model. The record is from RNAcentral.